AGCAGUCGCCACGGUAAUACGAAGGGGGCUAGCGUUGUUCGGAAUUACUGGGCGUAAAGCGCACGUAGGCGGAUAUUUAAGUCAGGGGUGAAAUCCCAGAGCUCAACUCUGGAACUGCCUUUGAUACUGGGUAUCUUGAGUAUGGAAGAGGUGAGUGGAAUUCCGAGUGUAGAGGUGAAAUUCGUAGAUAUUCGGAGGAACACCAGUGGCGAAGGCGGCUCACUGGUCCAUUACUGACGCUGAGGUGCGAAAGCGUGGGGAGCAAACAGGAUUAGAUACCCCAGUAGUCCCUGUCUCUUAUAC
RNAcentral lists this ribosomal RNA (303 nucleotides) under uncultured bacterium. RNAcentral's name for it is "partial 16S ribosomal RNA". It matches the Rfam family "Bacterial small subunit ribosomal RNA", at positions 507 to 807 of the family's 1533-position model. The record is from RNAcentral.